AAGUCGUAACAAGGUUUUUCUCUAGAGAAACGAAGAUCCCUUCGUAGCGAGCCUUGGAAGCCUUUGCGUCCUAGAGAUAGGGUUCUCAGCGACUAUAAACAAGAGAAGAGCAAGUAGCCUGUGGGCUGCUAUACAAUCGAACUGCGGGGACAUCCUAAAGCCUGAGAGUACUAACCUACCGUUCGAAAGACGGUGGGGGCCUACGUUAAUUCCGUAGGGGUACAGUAAGAACCUCUCAGGAUCCUAAUGGACAAUCCGCAGCGGUUUUCUACCGUCGAAAGACCAUGAAAAUCGUUCACAGACUAGGUGAUUGUGGGUAGAGUGUCUCUACCUAAGAUAUAGUCGGGCCGUCCGCGAAAGCAGACGGGUAUUCGCAAGAAUGUACCGCUCCGUAGGUGAACCUGCGGAGGGAUCAUUACAGAGUUCAUGCCCGCAAGGGUAGAUCUCCACCCUAUGUUAUUAUUACUAUUGUUGCUUUGGCGGACCGCCGCAAGGCUAUCGGUUUCGGCUGGUACGCGUUCGCCAGAGGAUCUUAAACCCCUGAUUAUUAGUGUCGUCUGAGUACUUAUAUAAUAGUUAAA
RNAcentral lists this unclassified non-coding RNA (581 nucleotides) under plant metagenome. Its description in RNAcentral is "partial contains small subunit ribosomal RNA and internal transcribed spacer 1". The stretch from base 63 to 366 matches the Rfam family "Group I catalytic intron". Rfam says of the family: Group I catalytic introns are large self-splicing ribozymes. They catalyse their own excision from mRNA, tRNA and rRNA precursors in a wide range of organisms. The core secondary structure consists of 9 paired regions (P1-P9). The record is from RNAcentral.